RNAcentral lists this long non-coding RNA (228 nucleotides) under Musa acuminata (dwarf banana). RNAcentral's name for it is "long non-coding RNA (MACU_LNC000385)". Lineage: Eukaryota; Viridiplantae; Streptophyta; Magnoliopsida; Zingiberales; Musaceae. The record is from RNAcentral.
UUCAACAAAAAUGAUAUGCAGGGCAACUUAGAUUAAUCUAUCAUAAAAGGCAGUCUUGCUAUUGUAUUGUUUAAAGGAAAUCUAAAAUAAUGAAAACCUUAUUGCUUCUUCAACUUUGGUACCUAAUGUCAUUAGCUUUAAUUUUUGCGACAAUUAUUUGGAUGCACAUAAAAUGCUUUCCAGAAUGUGCACAUGUUAAUGUUGUUUCCAUGUUAUUGUAUUCUCGAC